GAUGAAGAACGUAGCGAAAUGCGAUAAGUAAUGCGAAUUGCAGAAUUCAGUGAGUCAUCGAAUCUUUGAACGCACAUUGCGCCCUGUGGUAUUCCGCAGGGCAUGCCUGUUCGAGCGUCAUUUCAACCCUCAAGCCCCGCUUGGUGUUGGGCCCCGCCCGCUGUGGCCGGCCCUAAAGACAGUGGCGGCGCCGCCUGGCCCUCAGCGUAGUACAUCUCUCGCUCCAGGGUCCGGUGGCCGCCUGCCAGAACCCCCCAACUCUGUGGUUGACCUCGGAUUAGGUAGGGAUACCCGCUGAACUUAAGCAUAUCAAUAAGCGGAGGA
This 324-nucleotide unclassified non-coding RNA is filed under the name soil metagenome. RNAcentral describes it as "partial contains 5.8S ribosomal RNA, internal transcribed spacer 2, and large subunit ribosomal RNA". The stretch from base 1 to 120 matches the Rfam family "5.8S ribosomal RNA", at positions 35 to 154 of the family's 154-position model. The record is from RNAcentral.